This 4539-nucleotide long non-coding RNA is filed under the name Sus scrofa (pig). RNAcentral describes it as "lncRNA (ENSSSCG00045021404.1)". The record is from RNAcentral. Lineage: Eukaryota; Metazoa; Chordata; Mammalia; Artiodactyla; Suidae.
AUGUUUGGAGCUUGGUGGCCCAGGACUGGUCUGAUUGCUCUGUGGUGUCAGCAUUAUGCAGAUUCCUUCUUUUCUCCUGAUCCUUUUUUUUUUUUUUUGAAGGAUUGCUUCAUGGUCAAAAGAUGGCUGCUAGAGAUCCAGUUUUCAUGUCUCAAACAGGAAGAAGGAGAAAGCACUAAAUGCCAACAGAGUCUAAGACCAGAUUAUACCCUCUUUGAACUGAUUUCCUGGAAGCCCCGCACCAAGCUCCAGAGGGACGGACAAGCCGACCAGAAGCACAAGAUGCAGAUAACUGCUGCUGAGACCUGUAGAGUGAGCCAGGGUGAUGACAAGGCAGUGAUGCUGAUGAUGGAGAGAGCUAACGGCUGCUGGGAACAUUCUACAUGAUGAGUGAGGUUCUUUUUUUUGAUUUUUAAAAAUUAUUUUAUUGGAAUAUAGUUAAUUUACAAUGUUAGGUUGUGCCUCGCUAUAUAGCAAAAUGGUUCGAUCUCUUUCUCUCUCUCUCUCUCUCUCUCACACACACACACACACACAUCCUUUUUCCUAUUCUUUCCCAUUGUGGUUUAUCAUAGGAUAUUGAGUAUAGUUCCCUGUGCUGUACAGAAGGAUGGAGGUUGUUGUUUGUCCAUCCUAUAUAUAAUAGUUUGCAUCUGCUAAUCCCAAACUCCAAAUUCAUCAUCCCUCCCCACACUUCCUCCCCCUUGGCGACCCACAGUCUGUGAGUCUGUGUCUUUUUUUUUUUAAUUGUUAUUUGUAAAUAAGUUCAUUUGUGUCAUAUUUCAGAUUCCAUAUAUAAGGGAUAUCAUAUGGUAUUUGUCUUUCUCUUUCUGACUUACUUCACUCAGUACGAUAAUCUUUAGUUGCAUCCAUGUUGCUGCAAAUGGCAUAAUUUCAUUCUUUUUUAUGGCUGAGUAAUAUUCCAUUGUAUACAUGUACCACAUCUUAACCCAUCCCUCUGUCCAUGGACAUUUAGGUUGUUUCCAUGUCUUGGCUAUUGCGAAUAAGAGGUGGACACUGUUCUGAGUGCUCUACAUGUAUUUAUUCAUUCGAUCCUCACUGGACCUGGUAAUGAGCAGCUUUUAUAAUCUCCAUUUUCUGAAUAAGGAUAGCAGGUAGAGGGUCUAAAUAAUGUGAUUAAUGUCACAGGCAGUAGAACUGAGACCUUGGCCACAGAGCCUGUGGUCUUUGCUUCCACGCUUGGUUCAUUCAUCUAAGGUUGUAAAAUGCCCCCUCAGUGCUAGACAUUAGAUGCUAGGUACAGAGAUGAACAUGCUUUGGUCUCUCUAACCCCAAAACUCUCACUGUCUUUCUGAUCCAAUCUAGCUGAUGACCCCGCCCAGACACUGGAGAGCUGUGCUGUCCAGUAUGACAGCCACUACCAUAUUUCAGCCACUGAGCUCCUGAAAUGUGGUCAGUUUGAACUCGCACAUGCUGUGUGUGUAAAAUACACACUGGGUUUAGAAGACCUAGUACAACAAGGAUGUAAAAUACCUCAUCAAUAUUUAUUUUACUUUAUUAAAAAUUUUUAUUGGAGUGUAGUUGACUUACCCAGCUGUAAGUGUUGUGUUAGUUUCAGGUGUACAGCCAAGUGGAUCAGUUAUAAAUAUAUUCAUUCUUUUUCCCAUAGAGGUUUUUACUAACUAUUGAGUAGAGAGUUCUCUGAUGGCCUAGUAGGUUAAGGCUCCCACAUCUUCACCACUGUGGCUCUGAUGACUGCUGUGUGGUGUAGGUUCGAUCCCUGGCACAGGAACUUCCCCAUGCUGUGGGUAUGGCAAAAAAAGAAAAAAAAAUUAAAAACAGAAUGAAGCAAGAGAGAACCUGAAAUAAACAUUGCAACUCUCAGUCAAAAAACAGACUAUUGAGCAGAUUUUCCUGUGCUCUAUAAUAGGUUCUCAUUAAUCCUCUAUUUUUCACAGUAGUAUGUAUAUGUUGUGCUUCCCUCCCCUUUCUUCCCUCCCCCCAACUCAUCAAUAAUUUUUAAUACUGACUGUGUGCUGAAAUGAUUAUGUUUUGGAUACAGUGGAAUAACUAAAAUAUAUCAUUCGAGUUCAUCACACCUUUUAAAAAAGUGGCUAUAAGAAAAUUGAAGUCACAUGUGUGCUCACGUGACACUUCUCUUGAUGGUACUGCAGUAGAAUGUGAGUUCCUUGAAGACAGGUGCCAUCUCUGCCCUCUUUACCUCUGGUCCCAGGAGCCAGGACCAACAUUCAAUGGUCCCUCCAUACAUAGGUGUUGGACAGUGGAGUGAAUAAAUACACGAAUAACCAAAUCCCAUCCUCUCCUUCAUCUGCUCAUCUGUUUCCUGAAACACGUAGGUUGGAUCUCACUUUUACCUUGCUUUGUCUCUCUGGGCAGUCUCUCCAUUUCCCUGAGGCUUACAGAGAAUGGAUGCUACUCUGUGCCAGGAAACUGAGAGGCUGGAUGCGUGGAGGAAUUUGGAGAAUAAAAACAGAGUAUUUCCAACCACAAGGGCAAUUACCACUCACUGGGUGCAAAUUACUGAAGAAAAAAAAAAUGUGCCUGCUGUUGUUCUCAGUGCUUUAUCUGGAGUGAGUCAUUUAAUUCUAACAACCUAUGAUGUCAGUCCAGCUGUCAACUCCAUUGGACAGAUGGGGGAAAUUAAACCUCAAACAGGUUAAAUCUCACCCCCAGGAUUACAUAACUGGAUUCAUACUCAGUGACUGAUACGACACUGAUAUGGCAUCAAGCAUAGGGAAGGGGGGGACUGGUGUCUCCCACCCCAACAAGAAUAAUCCUGCCUUGGGUCCCCUUUGUUCUGAGGCCCCAGAGCACCUUAGACAGCUGGUACCCCAACUCUAGGGACACUGGGGAACAUAUCAAGUGUGGGUAGUACCACAAAGCAUCUGGCCACAUCCUGCCUGUGCAUCCAGCCAUUUCCUGUCUCUGCAUCUUCUUCACUAGAUGGCUGGGAUUCCCACAGGCUGGCUCUCUUCUGUGCCCGUGAUGUGGCAAUGAGUGAAUAGGUGAGUGACCAUCCCAGGUCAAGGAACAACCCUCACCAUGCCCUCUGAUGACAUAUCCCUCCCCGUCCUACUGGACCUCAGCUUCUACAGCCAGGACUCUCAGAGAAGCCCCAAACCCCUUAUCCUGGCACCACUGAGGGAGACAUGCCAAACUUCCACAAGUCUGUGUUAGUUCCUCGUCCCUCCAGGCCAGGUGGUGGGUCUGGAGGUCAUGAACCCAGGCAUUGGGGGCAGCAGAGUGCAGGUCAGUUCUGAACCUCACCUCUAAUGAGCUGUAUACUGUUGGAGAAGUCAUUCUUCUCCAAGGCUCAGCCUCCUCUUCAGUGAAAUGGAGAUAACAAGAAUCCACUUGUAUUAUUACUACUCCUGGUCAGGGUGUCACCCCCAGCCUCUCCUUGGCCUUUGCUGACCCCCUAUUUUAAACUGCUACCAUAAUCUCGACUGCUGCACAGAUUAAUAUCCAUUUAUUUAUAAUGCCAUGUGGCAGUGUUCAUGGAUCUAGCAGGUUCGCAAGGAGCUUGUAGGAAAAUAGUUUACAAUUUACCCUUAAGCAGGUGCUUGAACACCGCAAGCCCACUCCCACCUCAGCAUCUCUGCAUGUGCUAAUUUGCUUGCACGCUCCUUGCCCCAGAUUUUCUCAUGGCCAACGUCCUCUUAUCCUCCAGGUCUUUAACCAAUGUCUCCUCAUCAUGGAAGACUUUCCUGACGUGCUUUUCUCCCUGGCCCGUCUCACCUUCCCCCAGGGCACUUAUGCUCACUUGGACACCUUGUGCGUUUAUCAGGUCACCAUGUCCCCUUACUUCCCCCUGAGAGGUAAGGCAUGGUUGUGAGGGCGCCAUUUUGCCUUCUCACUGUUGCACACCUGAAUUAGCGCCUCCUGGUACAGAGUGGGUUCUCGAGAAACAGUUUUGAAUAAAUGAAUAUGCAUACCUACACAUUUGUGUGUACACAGAUGAUAUGUACCUGGAUGGAGUGCAUUUAUCUACUUUUCCUCAUUGAUCCAUUGCAAUACUGAGGCUCAAAGCUGAAAAUCUGCUUCUAGAGCAAAUCUGCGGAAUCCCAUAACUAUAAAUGAGCCUUGUGCUCCGUGACCUUCACAGCUACGUCAUACCCCUCUGCAUUUCAUUUCCUUAUUUUUAGGGCCACACAGGCAGCAUAUGGAGGUUCCCAGGCUAGGGGUCCAAUUGGAACUACAGUUGCUGGCCUACACCACAGCCACAGCAACACAGGAUCUGAGACGUGUUUGCGACCUACACACAAGUCAUGGGAAUGCCGGAUCCUUAAUCCACUGAGCAAGGCCAGGGAUCAAACCUGCAUCCUCAUGGAUCCUAGUUGUGUUUCUUACUGCUGAGCCAUGAUGGGAACUUCUGCAUUUCACUUCUUCAUCUAGAAAACAGAAUAGAAAUAGUCCUUACCUGAUGGAUUUUUUUUUUUCCUUUGAGGAUCAGAUGAGUUAACCAGUGCUUAGAGCAGGGCUUGGUUAGAGGAAGCAGUAAAUAAAUAUUAAUUAAAUAUGGACCGUUAUCACUGGUUUUUAGUGAGAGGUAUACCUGGG